GACGAACGCUGGCGGCGUGCCUAAUACAUGCAAGUCGAGCGGACUUAAAAAGCUUGCUUUUUAAGUUAGCGGCGGACGGGUGAGUAACACGUGGGCAACCUGCCUGUAAGACUGGGAUAACUUCGGGAAACCGGAGCUAAUACCGGAUAAUCCUUUUCUACUCAUGUAGAAAAGCUGAAAGACGGUUUACGCUGUCACUUACAGAUGGGCCCGCGGCGCAUUAGCUAGUUGGUGAGGUAACGGCUCACCAAGGCGACGAUGCGUAGCCGACCUGAGAGGGUGAUCGGCCACACUGGGACUGAGACACGGCCCAGACUCCUACAGGAGGCAGCAGUAGGGAAUCUUCCGCAAUGGACGAAAGUCUGACGGAGCAACGCCGCGUGAGUGAUGAAGGUUUUCGGAUCGUAAAACUCUGUUGUUAGGGAAGAACAAGUACGAGAGUAACUGCUCGUACCUUGACGGUACCUAACCAGAAAGCCACGGCUAACUACGUG
Molecule: ribosomal RNA, 494 nt
Filed under: uncultured bacterium
Lineage: Bacteria
Description: partial 16S ribosomal RNA
Rfam family: Bacterial small subunit ribosomal RNA
Source: RNAcentral